UACGGGGGGGGCAAGCGUUGUUCGGAAUUACUGGGCGUAAAGGGCUCGUAGGCGGCCAACUAAGUCGGAUGUGAAAUCCCCAGGCUUAACCUGGGAACUGCAUCCGAUACUGGAUGGCUUGAAUCCGGGAGAGGGAUGCAGAAUUCCAGGUGUAGCGGUGAAAUGCGUAGAUAUCGCUUGGAACGCCGGCGGUGAAAACGGACAGCUGGGGGUGUGCUGACGCUGAGACACGAAAGCCAGGGGAGCGAACGGG
RNAcentral lists this ribosomal RNA (253 nucleotides) under uncultured bacterium. RNAcentral describes it as "partial 16S ribosomal RNA". It matches the Rfam family "Bacterial small subunit ribosomal RNA", at positions 524 to 776 of the family's 1533-position model. The record is from RNAcentral.